Long non-coding RNA from Physcomitrium patens, 1933 nucleotides. RefSeq lists it as uncharacterized. Lineage: Eukaryota; Viridiplantae; Streptophyta; Bryopsida; Funariales; Funariaceae. The record is from RefSeq and is a predicted model, not a curated record.
CCAAAUGGAAAAUAUCAACUAGAGUUGUCAGAAAUUGUCUCCACAGUGAUAGAUUAACUACAAUUUACAGCAACUGUGACAGUCACAAAUUUCCCAUUGCUGUGUCAGACCACGGUCUUACACAUCAGUACCUUUCACCGUGUAACUGAACCAGUCCGAGGUGGUUAUAGCAAUCCCGCGGGUACAGGUCUGCAGUGAAACCGUCGAUUAGGGUUUCGGCUCCGUUGUGAUUCACCGCAGCCACAAUCGGGAAUUAGGGCGGCACGCCGAGCGCGGAUUUCUUCGUAGGGUUUCUCAUCUUUUUGAAACCCUCCCUGUUGUGCAUGCCUUCGAUCGGGAUAUGGUUUACUGAAUCUGUCAACGAGCAACCUGUACAAGUUUUCUCUGCACUGGCAAUUUGGCGGUGUCUCGGCCGAGGGAGUUGGACAUCCGGGCAUGUCGAAACAACGGCGAGGAUUUUCUGAAUCGUGCUACGGUCGAAUAUUUUGUCAGUGUGAUUGUCGUUUCUGACGGUGCAAGGAUGCCGCAGUUCUUCCUAUUUCCGUAUCAAUAGACUCAUUCAAGAUCUAGUCUAUGUUGAUAAGCGUGAUUGUGGUAUCUUCAGAGGCUUUAACAUCGGGUUCUUGUUCUUUCGUCUUGAUUACGCUACCUUCCCACGACUCGGUCUCCACGAUAGACUGGCAUAAGAGUGGUAUGGCUGCUCACUCUUGUGUUUUAUUCUUUCCUGUGUUGUGUAUAUGGCUUUUGGUCUUCGAUUAGUUCAGUUUUGAUUUUUUCUGCCCAUGAGUAAUCUGCAUGAAUCGAUGAAGGCGCUAGGGGAAUCUUCCGAUGAAGAGCGGGUAUCUGCGCAGCGCAGCGCAACGCUUAGACUUCGUGUGAGUUUUUUGCGAUGCCUUUGUUGCUAUGGUUUGGGUUGCAAUGGACAGCGAUGUAGCACUGUUAUGAUAUUUUUCUGCUGGUGAGGAAGGUCUUCAUUUUGAACACAACUUCUCCGACUGUUUAUUUUGAUUUUCUUUGGUUGAUCAGUCAACCCAUUCCGUGUGAAGUCAUUGUCACUGUCUGGGGACAAGAGUAGUAUGUCCGCUUAGGUUACUCCUUGCGCUUAUACUUGUGGUAGGGCCUGUAUGAGUGAGUCAGACAGGGUGCCCCACGUUGAGUUACCUGGCACGACAUUCAACUAAUAAUUUGUGCUUUCUUUGGUUACGAUUACUUCCAUACUUGUGCGGCACAAGUUCUAGCAAGGCAUCAGAGGUUCUAAGUUCUUCCGUGCAUGGCUUCCAGCUUGUGUAGGUUGGUUUUGCAUGUGACAUGGAAAUAUAUUCCUUUCUUGGAUUCUGGGGAGCGGAUCCAGUUGAAAGUCAUGAAAAUAAUAUGUUGCAAAUAUUUCCAGUGAUGUGAACUAUAACCUGGUAACCAAGUUGGUCUAGAGUGGUGACGGACACUCCCUUUCUUCCUUCUUUCUCACCAUCCUGUCUCGAUGUCUUCUAAUCAAUCGUCUCUGUCCUCCUCUCUCUCACACCUCGUCCACUGCAGCUACGUAUGCAGUUUGAGGCAAUGUCCGUCGUUAAGCCACCGCUGAUGCUUUAGCUAUGAGAGCUGAGGAUAUAUUGCAACAUGGACUGUCGCUCGAAAAUGGAAGCAUUGGUAAUGUGGUCGUGGUUUUAAGGCACACGGCUUACUAAGUUCUGAAGAGAGUCGUUUUGUGCGAGAGUGAGGUUCGAUGACUGGAAAUAUUACAGGAAUAAUUCAGUCGAAGAACGGUCGCUUUGUGUACUGUUCGUGUUUUCAUCUAACUUGUUCGCAUGAGUCUGAGUCUCCUAUUGGGAACUUACCGAUUCAUUUGUUCCUAGACAGGACCGCAUUCCUCAUUUUCAAAUUUAUUGAUGUAUGAAUGGAGAAUUAUUCGAGUAAUAUGAUUAGUAUUUGUGAUUCA